Molecule: transfer RNA, 75 nt
Filed under: uncultured archaeon
Lineage: Archaea
Description: tRNA-Phe(gaa)
Rfam family: tRNA
About the family: Transfer RNA (tRNA) molecules are approximately 80 nucleotides in length.
Source: RNAcentral
GGCCUUGUAGCUUAACUGGUAAGAGCGCCCGCCUGAAGAGCGGGAUAUCCGGUUCGACACCCGGCGAGGCCACCA